This 500-nucleotide ribosomal RNA is filed under the name uncultured bacterium. RNAcentral's name for it is "partial 16S ribosomal RNA". It matches the Rfam family "Bacterial small subunit ribosomal RNA", at positions 30 to 523 of the family's 1533-position model. The record is from RNAcentral.
AUUGAACGCUGGCGGCAUGCCUUACACAUGCAAGUCGAACGGCAGCACGGGAGCAAUCCUGGUGGCGAGUGGCGAACGGGUGAGUAAUGUAUCGGAACGUGCCCAGUCGUGGGGGAUAACGUAGCGAAAGCUACGCUAAUAUCGCAUACGAUCUAUGGAUGAAAGCGGGGGAUCGCAAGACCUCGCGCGAUUGGAGCGGCCGAUAUCAGAUUCGGUAGUUGGUGGGGUAAAGGCCCACCAAGCCUGCGAUCUGUAGCUGGUCUGAGAGGACGACCAGCCACACUGGAACUGAGACACGGUCCAGACUCCUACGGGAGGCAGCAGUGGGGAAUUUUGGACAAUGGGCGCAGGCCUGAUCCAGCAAUGCCGCGUGCAGGAUGAAGGCCUUCGGGUUGUAAACUGCUUUUGUACGGAACGAAACGGCUUUUUCUAAUACAGAGAGCUAAUGACGGUACCGUAAGAAUAAGCACCGGCUAACUACGUGCCAGCCGCCGCGGUAA